GGAGUUCUGAAAUAUAUAUUAAAAUAUAUUAUAUUCUAUUUUUUAAAUUUAUAGCAAUAUUUUGUAUAUUGCUACAUUUACUGUAAAUAUUUGAAAUCAAAUUUAAAGUAAUUUGUUCAUGAUUUAUUCAAGUGGUUCAAAAUGUUCAUAUGACCAGAACGUGAAUCAUAAAGGUUAGAAAUGAUUUGCAUCAUCCUUGUGGCAGGCCAUGGGACAAUAUUGGAGAAUGAAAUCAAG
Non-coding RNA from Paramuricea clavata, 237 nucleotides. Lineage: Eukaryota; Metazoa; Cnidaria; Anthozoa; Malacalcyonacea; Plexauridae. The record is from the annotation of a GenBank genome assembly.